Molecule: ribosomal RNA, 183 nt
Filed under: Triticum aestivum (bread wheat)
Lineage: Eukaryota; Viridiplantae; Streptophyta; Magnoliopsida; Poales; Poaceae
Description: partial small subunit ribosomal RNA
Source: RNAcentral
GAUUACUUCGAGGAGAAUCCAACAUGUCCACCGCACCUCUUCCGGAGAAGGUACCGAAUGCGCCGAUCUCUCUUUGUGAAAAUUGCUCAAGCUUGCGAGGCCAAUUGUCAGUAUUUUACUCAAAAAAGAAAUGUCAUGGGCUUGAAGGGAUUUAGUGCAUAUAAAAAAAUCUCGCAACUAUGA